UUUCGCAAUGCCCGAAAGGGUGACGAAGCGACGCCGCGUGUGGGAAGAAGGCCUUCGGGUUGUAAACCACUGUCGGGAGUUAGGAAAUGCAGGUGCGUCAAUAGCGCACUUGCUUGACUAAGGCUCCAGAGGAAGCCACGGCUAACUCUGUGCCAGCAGCCGCGGUAAUACAGAGGCGGCAAGCGUUGUUCGGAAUUAUUGGGCGUAAAGAGCACGUAGGCGGCCUUGCAAGUCAGUUGUGAAAGCCUUCCGCUUAACGGAAGAACGGCAUCUGAUACUACAGGGCUUGAGUACGGGAGGGGAGAGUGGAACUUCUGGUGGAGCGGUGAAAUGCGUAGAUAUCAGAAGGAACGCCGGCGGCGAAAGCGACUCUCUGGUCCGAAACUGACGCUGAGUGUGCGAAAGCUAGGGGAGCAAACGGGAUUAGAUACCCCGGUAGUCCUAGCCGUAAACGAUGGGCACUAAGUAGAGGGGUUUU
Molecule: ribosomal RNA, 478 nt
Filed under: uncultured Planctomycetales bacterium
Lineage: Bacteria; Pseudomonadati; Planctomycetota; Planctomycetia; Planctomycetales
Description: bacterial SSU rRNA
Rfam family: Bacterial small subunit ribosomal RNA
Source: RNAcentral